GUGACGACAUUUACCGGGCUUUAACGGUUGUUGCUGCAUGAAGUCUGCUGCAAUUUCUCUGAGAUUUCUCAAGAUCAUAAGUUUGGACAGAAUUCAUUUGAAGAAUUAAUAGCACUAGCAGGUUCCAAUAAAGGCUGGAACAGAACAGACAGAAAAGAAUCUGUCAGAAGAAAUUCAACUACUGUUCGUGCACCAGAUGGUGAAGUAGAAAAGUUCGUAAAAACUUCUGCAGCUUGCAUCUGACAGAGAUGCAAAAAGAAUAAGAGAGCGGGCCUGAAAACAAGCAAAUUCAAGUCUUUCCUUCUUUUAGGGUACACUUGAGGAGUGUCCAGAUGUUUAUUAAUGUUUUAUUAAUGUAAUGUUAUGUUUCAAAUAAACAUGUAAACAUACUGUAUAUUUUUCUUUCUUUUUUAAACACCUACAGUAAAGUGUGACACUUAAC
Molecule: long non-coding RNA, 442 nt
Organism: Paramisgurnus dabryanus
Lineage: Eukaryota; Metazoa; Chordata; Actinopteri; Cypriniformes; Cobitidae
Source: RefSeq, a predicted model, not a curated record